UGGCUCUCGCAUCGAUGAAGAACGCAGCGAAAUGCGAUAAGUAAUGUGAAUUGCAGAAUUCAGUGAAUCAUCGAAUCUUUGAACGCACCUUGCACCUCUUGGUAUUCCGAGAGGUACACCUGUUUGAGUGUCGUGAAUUUAUCCAUUCUAUUCAAUUUACUAUACUCUUGUUCUUUGAAUUAGAAAAUGGGACUUGGGGAUUUUACUUGUAGGAUAUAUAAUAUAUAUAUUCUACUUCCCUUAAAUAUAUUAGUAAAAGAAAUGUUCAUUUACUUUUAUUAGUGUGAUAAAUAUCUUUACACUUGUAAUAAGUUUAAUAAUAAUGAAUGAUUUACUUCAAACAAACACAUACAUUUGUGAAUGUGUGGUUUUAUACUUGAACUUGACCUCAAAUCAGGUGGGAUUACCCGCUGA
This 414-nucleotide unclassified non-coding RNA is filed under the name uncultured fungus. RNAcentral describes it as "partial contains 5.8S ribosomal RNA and internal transcribed spacer 2". The stretch from base 1 to 133 matches the Rfam family "5.8S ribosomal RNA", at positions 22 to 154 of the family's 154-position model. The record is from RNAcentral. Lineage: Eukaryota; Fungi.